GUCUAUCUGUUUCUUGGGUUAUGUUGUGACCAAGAAUUGUAUCAUGGCCAAUACGGUCAAGAUUAUCGUGGUUUGUGAUUAGGAUAGGCCUACUUGUCCUAUAGAGAUUUGGAGUUUUUCAUCUGUUGUGGCUCCUGACCAAGUUGACUUAGAUGAAGAUUUAUUUUCAGUUGCCUGAUGUUUGUGAUGCAAGAUUUCAAAAGCUCAAGGAUUU
This 214-nucleotide long non-coding RNA is filed under the name Capsicum annuum. RNAcentral's name for it is "long non-coding RNA (CANN_LNC015674)". Lineage: Eukaryota; Viridiplantae; Streptophyta; Magnoliopsida; Solanales; Solanaceae. The record is from RNAcentral.